RNAcentral lists this small RNA (938 nucleotides) under Pan troglodytes (chimpanzee). Its description in RNAcentral is "retained intron". Lineage: Eukaryota; Metazoa; Chordata; Mammalia; Primates; Hominidae. The record is from RNAcentral.
CGGAAGACGGGCGGCGCGUGGCGGAAGGCAGGCUUGCUCCUCGGGGUGGGGGAGGGUAUCCGGCUUAAGGGGGCUGCGGUGGACGCCACUUCUUAAUGUCGGGGGUCUUCGCGGCGCUCACCUCGGCUCCUAGGGUUCGGGACGGUACGCACCAGCCACCUUCGCGCCGAAGGCGGUAGGGCGCCACGGAGAGGAACCGCUCUAGGCACGUAAGGCCUCGUGAGGUUGCGUCGCGCGCGGAGCACUCUGGGACUUGUAGUUCUGGAGAUGGAGCGAGCUGUGCCGCUCGCGGUGCCUCUGGGUCAGACAGAGGUGUUCCAGGCCUUGCAGCGGCUCCAUAUGACCAUCUUCUCCCAGAGCGUCUCACCAUGUGGGAAGUUUCUGGCGGCUGGCAACAAUUACGGGCAGAUUGCCAUCUUCAGCUUGUCCGCUGCUUUGAGCUCAGAAGCCAAAGAGGAAAGUAAGAAGCCGGUGGUGACUUUCCAAGGUGGGUAUAGCUGUGGAGUCUGGCUUCGGGACUUUGGGUGGGAUUGACUCACUCAGUUCUGCAUUUCUCUUUAGCCCAUGAUGGGCCCGUCUAUAGCAUGGUUUCCACCGAUCGACAUCUGCUUAGUGCUGGGGAUGGGGAGGUGAAGGCCUGGCUUUGGGCGGAGAUGCUCAAGAAGGUAAGGAGUCGAGCUUGGGAAAGGGCUGGGGUGCCUGGACCCGGAGAGAGCCUUUGAGGUCACCUGGUAUUUUCUCUUUUGAAGGGCUGUAAGGAGCUGUGGCGUCGUCAGCCUCCAUACAGGUGAGCAGGGCCACGUGGAUAGAGGGUGCAUCAGGGUGAAGCCACUUCCUCACUGACCUUGCCUUUCCUUCCCCAGGACCAGCCUGGAAGUGCCUGAGAUCAACGCUUUGCUGCUGGUCCCCAAGGAGAAUUCCCUCAUCCUGGCUGGGGG